GUGCCAGCCGCCGCGGUAAGACGUAGGGCGCGAGCGUUGUCCGGAUUGAUUGGGCGUAAAGAGCUCGUAGGCGGCUCGUUGCGUCGGCUGUGAAAACCCGCAGCUCAACUGUGGGCCUGCAGCUGAUACGGGCGGGCUGGAGUUCGGUAGGGGAGACUGGAAUUCCUGGUGUAGCGGUGAAAUGCGCAGAUAUCAGGAGGAACACCGGUGGCGAAGGCGGGUCUCUGGGCCGAUACUGACGCUGAGGAGCGAAAGCGUGGGGAGCGAACAGGAUUAGAAACCCUUGUAGUCC
Molecule: ribosomal RNA, 292 nt
Filed under: uncultured bacterium
Lineage: Bacteria
Description: partial 16S ribosomal RNA
Rfam family: Bacterial small subunit ribosomal RNA
Source: RNAcentral